Molecule: ribosomal RNA, 253 nt
Filed under: uncultured bacterium
Lineage: Bacteria
Description: partial 16S ribosomal RNA
Rfam family: Bacterial small subunit ribosomal RNA
Source: RNAcentral
GACGUAGGAUGCAAGCGUUGUCCGGAAUUAUUGGGCGUAAAGAGCUCGUAGGCGGUUCGUCACGUCGGAUGUGAAAUCCCGAGGCUCAACCUCGGGUCUGCAGUCGAUACGGGCGGACUUGAGUACUGCAGGGGAGACUGGAAUUCCUGGUGUAGCGGUGAAAUGCGCAGAUAUCAGGAGGAACACCGGUGGCGAAGGCGGGUCUCUGGGCAGUAACUGACGCUGAGGAGCGAAAGCGUGGGGAGCGAACAGG